AUGGAGACCAAGAUUGUGGUCAGAAAUUUGCCGGAGCUGCCGCGAGACGUAUUGAUGGAUAUCUUUGCCCUCCUGGAGAUCCCGGACCUCAAGCGUGCGGGCUCCGUCUGCUCCUCAUGGCGCUCUGUUUAUACCAGCCUAUGCAGCCAGCUUGAGCUGUACAAACGGCCCCAGACGCCUUGCCUUCUUUACACCUCUGAAUCUGCCGCUGACAACGUAGCUUGUCUCUACAGCCUUGCCGAAAAGCGGGUCUACAGUCUAACUCUUCCGGAUCCACCGCACCAGGUAUCUGAUUGGGUCCUCACACGGCUGGCUGAUCACCGCUGCCGAGAAGUCCGAGCUCCACCUUCUCAAUCCGAUCACCUGUCAACAGAUUGCUCUCCCGUCAGUGAUCACCAACGAGAGGGUGAAGCCGGUCUUUGA
RNAcentral lists this ribosomal RNA (423 nucleotides) under Triticum aestivum (bread wheat). Its description in RNAcentral is "partial small subunit ribosomal RNA". Lineage: Eukaryota; Viridiplantae; Streptophyta; Magnoliopsida; Poales; Poaceae. The record is from RNAcentral.